GACGAACGCUGGCGGCGUGCUUAACACAUGCAAGUCGUACGGUAAGGCCCUUUCGGGGGUACACGAGUGGCGAACGGGUGAGUAACACGUGAGUAACCUGCCCACAACUUUGGGAUAACGCUAGGAAACUGGUGCUAAUACUGGAUAUGUGCUCCUGCCGCAUGGUGGGGGUUGGAAAGCUCCGGCGGUUGUGGAUGGACGCGCGGCCUAUCAGCUUGUUGGUGGGGUAGUGGCCUACCAAGGCGGCGAUGGGUAGCCGGCCUGAGAGGGUGACCGGCCACAUUGGGACUGAGAUACGGCCCAGACUCCUACGGGGGGCAGCAGUGGGGAAUAUUGCACAAUGGGCGCAAGCCUGAUGCAGCAACGCCGCGUGCGGGAUGACGGCCUUCGGGUUGUAAACCGCUUUCAGCAGGGACGAAGCUUUUUGUGACGGUACCUGCAGAAGAAGCACCGGCUAACUACGUG
Molecule: ribosomal RNA, 465 nt
Filed under: uncultured bacterium
Lineage: Bacteria
Description: partial 16S ribosomal RNA
Rfam family: Bacterial small subunit ribosomal RNA
Source: RNAcentral